GCCCAGCACCGAAGCCUGCAGCAGUUUUGUUGUUAGGCAAUGUGGUGUUUGGAUCGGCUAGUGGGACUGCCACUCCAUUCGAAGUCCAGCAUUGAGUAUGGUACCCUGGAUUUGGCCCAAAGAGGGUGAAAGGCCCGUGCGAAUGGAUGUUUCAGACAUGAAAGGCAGUUCAUCAGGUCGAUCUUCGAGUCGGGUUGUUUGAGAAUGCAGCCCCAAGUGGGUGGUAAACUCCAUCCAAGGCUAAAUACUGGCACGAGUCCGAUAGCGAACAAGUACCGUGAGGGAAAGUUGAAAAGUACUCUGAAGAGAGAGUAAACAGUACGUGAAACCGUAUAGAGGUAAACGGGUGGCGUCAAGCUGCAAGCCCAGAGGAUUCAGUUGGUCACUGUGUGUGUAUGUCUUGUGUAUAUCAGUCGGUAUUAGAUCGAGCAGUCCACCGGAUGAUGGUGGGUUCGGUCGCAAGGCCGGAAUGUAUGUUCCACCUAGGUUGGUGGUGUACGCUGUUCGACUAUUGGACUGGGUGGCCAAUGCACUUCCUCUGAUAUGGUGAACACCACGACCGGUGGUGCUGCCAGUCUGGUAUAGUCAAGUUGUAUCUGGUUUGGCAUUCGUGUCAUCUGGGUGCGAUCACAGGCAAUUCAGUGGACGGUGGGCUUGUCUAUGU
This 664-nucleotide ribosomal RNA is filed under the name Parachristianella monomegacantha. RNAcentral's name for it is "eukaryotic LSU rRNA". It matches the Rfam family "Eukaryotic large subunit ribosomal RNA", at positions 107 to 634 of the family's 3401-position model. The record is from RNAcentral. Lineage: Eukaryota; Metazoa; Platyhelminthes; Cestoda; Trypanorhyncha; Eutetrarhynchidae.